RNAcentral lists this ribosomal RNA (507 nucleotides) under uncultured bacterium. RNAcentral's name for it is "bacterial SSU rRNA". It matches the Rfam family "Bacterial small subunit ribosomal RNA", at positions 122 to 624 of the family's 1533-position model. The record is from RNAcentral.
GAAUCUGCCUGGUAGUGGGGGAUAACGUUCGGAAACGGACGCUAAUACCGCAUACGUCCUACGGGAGAAAGCAGGGGACCUUCGGGCCUUGCGCUAUCAGAUGAGCCUAGGUCGGAUUAGCUAGUUGGUGGGGUAAUGGCUCACCAAGGCGACGAUCCGUAACUGGUCUGAGAGGAUGAUCAGUCACACUGGAACUGAGACACGGUCCAGACUCCUACGGGAGGCAGCAGUGGGGAAUAUUGGACAAUGGGCGAAAGCCUGAUCCAGCCAUGCCGCGUGUGUGAAGAAGGUCUUCGGAUUGUAAAGCACUUUAAGUUGGGAGGAAGGGUUGUAGAUUAAUACUCUGCAAUUUUGACGUUACCGACAGAAUAAGCACCGGCUAACUCUGUGCCAGCAGCCGCGGUAAUACAGAGGGUGCAAGCGUUAAUCGGAAUUACUGGGCGUAAAGCGCGCGUAGGUGGUUUGUUAAGUUGGAUGUGAAAUCCCCGGGCUCAACCUGGGAACUGC